GUUGCAUCAGCAGCAAACUGAGCAAAGGGACAGUGUUCGCUAUUAUAAGGUUUACUCAAUCAACCGGGAAUGGGGGAAAACUGACCCAGAAAUUUUAUGUUUUAGGCCACUACUAAAUGCACACGUGCAUACAGCACUGUGGGGUUUAAAGUGUUACUCCAACCACAAUGACUACUUAUGCUUUUAGAAAUGGCUAUGGUGGUGGUAGGAGUCUGUAUGUGCAGCGUUCCUGCUUGAAACUUACAGAGAUAUAUCUUUAAUUCUGUGCUGAGGGUUAGUUACACACCAGAUACAUGUGACUCAGGCAGUUUGGAACUCUGUUACCUGUGCUCUUAGCCAGCGAAACAUUCCGUCAAAGGUGAGAAGCCUUCAAGUGAAGUUCAGUGACAUAUCAGUAGUCAGAAAUUUUGGCUGUAAAAAGCCAUCUGAAAAUACACUUGCAUAGUAAUAAGCAACAACAACAACAUAAUGGGCUAACUAAUAUCUUCUACGCUGUUUGGCUCCAUCGUGAACACAAAAAGUAAAAUUUUUAGGAAUAUCUAAACCAAGAAAAACAAUAGAGAGGUGUUGGUGGGUGGAGAGGGGCAAUGAUGACUAGUAGUUGCUUCUACAGCCCACAACACAUCCAUGUGCUGCUGUCCAUGACCAUUUGCAGUGGCUACCUCAGUAGAUCACUGUACUAUUUGGAAAAAAAAACCUGAACUAAUAAAAACUGUAUAGCCUAGGUUUGUCAGACGUAUACUUGGAUUGUAGAUUGUGGGUAGCAAUUGCUUUUUUGUUUUACACUUUUUAAUCUUUUGUGUGAAUAUACACAUAUAUUACUUUUGCCCCUUUCUCCCAUUCUGUAGUGUUUUCGUUUUUGCUACAGUAAUAUUGUGGAUAGGAUGUCAUAAUCAACAUAUAUGAAUAUAUUGGUGUUUUUUAUUUGUACUUUAUUGUUUGGAUGCAUAAGUUAUAUAUAUAUAAUGAUUAACAAAGAAUGGGGCACCUCCAUGAUUGACUCUUAAGCAUUGCUACUCAGUUCGUGGUUUUGGGUUUGCGCUUUCCAGUACAAGUUCUUCUCCAGAUUAUAUCAAGACAUAAUUUUCUGCUUAUCAUAGCUAGUGCCGUGACAUUAAUUUGGUAUAUGAGAUAUUUUGUUGCCUUGGGCAGUUUAGGCGGGUAGUUAUGGAGCAGCAUGCAAUCGGGUGUUUUAGGUAAACUAAUCCCCAUGCUAGAGUGGAUUAGUUUGGCCACAGCUGUCCAGUAUGUUGUUAAUUAUGGGCAUUCCCACCAAAUAUGGAGCAUGGUGCCAGUUCCCGUUGUGCAUCUCCAGCACUGGUCUGAAGUGCUUGGCUAAAUUUAUUUAAGGCGCUUUGGUACUAGGUAUCAGCGAUAUAGUAUCUUCCGUGAUAGCACUAUGUGAUUUGCACUUAGUGUGAGUUUUUUAGGAGUUUGGAAUAUAUCCUGCCAUGCAUGCUCAUUAAGAGUAAUGUUGAAGUCUUUUUCCCAUGCCCUGACAAAGGUGUAUCUGAUAUUUAAUUCGCAUUUCAGAAUGCUAGAAUAGAGUUUUGAAAUAUUUUUUACUGCUGGAGUAAUUUUUAGCAUUGUUUUCUCAAAGCUCGUCAGUCGGUGUUCAUGUACAUUUUCUUUAACCCAAGUUUUUUUGUUUUUUUUUAACCAAGAAUGUAUUUUUAAAUAUGAGAAUUACGCUACUGAUGGGAGACUAUACAUCUGUUGCAUUUCUUGAAAAUGUAAUGUUUUGCUGUUCUGAUAGAAUUUUAUUACUUGAUGGGAGGCGAGUAAUUCGCAUAACUUUCUUUACUUAUGCCUCCAGCAGCACAAUUCAAUCAAAUUUUUUAAACUAAUCAGAAACAGGUACAACAUCCAUAUAAAUCCCUGAGAGCCAUCUCACUUCCCCUUUCUUUGCUGCUCCAGCCAGGCACAGGUCAGAGUAAAUUUUUCCCUGCUCAUUAACUUUAUCUUUAUGAGUAGAGGAUUCUAUACUGUCUUAUGUACUGUAUUAUUUAAUGCACUCAUUGCUGUAUGUUACUGUAGUUUGCCCCUGCUCCUUUUCUCCACCUGUCUUCCCUCCUUAUUAUUGUGGGUCUGUCAUUUCCCCACUAACUGGCUGAGCCUGCUCUCACCUCUAUUUAUUCCCUCUCCGCACGCAUCAUGGUGUUUUCACAGUGAUCGCUCGCCUAUUUGCAGUGUUUGGGGACCAGCAGGCAGGGUACUGUGGGGGGAGGGAGUGUGGGGCUCGUUUUUCUGACAGCCGGCGGGCCACGAUCGCGGAUGCGCCGGCAAUAUUUGCGCGUGAUCGGCGGCCAUCUUGCGUACCGCGAGAUUCAGGUCGGCCAUUUUGGUUACAUUUAGCUUCUACUUCACUAUUCUUUUGUUAGGAGCCCAUGUAUUAUACAUUCUGUACAGUACUUUGGUAAUUCUAUCCCACAUGUAUACAGUUCUAAAUAUAUCUACUGAGGCAUGUUUAGUAAUGUUUGAAUAUCAGACCUGGACUAUAUAUUGGCAAUCUGCAGUGUAACCACUGAACAUUUACACUCAGAGAGGAGUGUCACUACUAGGGGUGACCCCAAACUCUCCACUCGGGUGACCCCCCAUUCAAGCAUACAUCAGUACCAUUACAAGCUUACAUCAGUGCUAUUAAUCACUGCUCUACCAGGGGUGAUCCCCAAGCAAGACUUGCACUGCCCUCCAGUGACAAGCAUAUUUUAGUGGUGAUCCCCCUUACCAAUGGAAUGAGCACCCCAUUCGACCUAACAAGAGGCUCAACCCACAUGGCCAUACAAGGUCCACAGGUCAUACCAAUAAUAAUUGAUACGGCACCUCCAUGCUACGGCUGGGGUGAUCCAUUCACCUCCUGACUGUCUUUAGGAGGGAGAACUCACAGUGUUACCGUCUCCACAACAAUACUCUAUAUCAAGGGUGACCCCCUUUGACAAUACAGGGCUCUCUACGCCCUCUUACGGGCUCCGUCCCGAUUAUAUUUGACCGCACAUCCCGAUCUUUUAGAGGGUAACCCCCUCAUUAAUUCACUUUGUGUCUCUAUCCAAUCCAAAUGGUUCUGAUAAACUGACGACACUGGGUGACCCCCAGUUGUACGUGGAGGCCCACACUGUUACAACUCGCUUACUUCUGUACCUGAACCUGUCCUGUCUUCCACAGACAGAAAGACUCAACGGCCAUAGAAUGAGUGAUUCACCUCAAUCACCUCGCCCUGACUUCCAGUCAAUGAUCAAUGCGGCCGUGGCAGCUUCAGUUUGGAAAGCUAUUGCCAAGAUGCUGGUGGACGUUGACGCACCAACAGUGGCGGAGGCUAAGGACCCUGACUACUCUAAAGGGGACACCUCCAUGUCAAAAAGACACUGGAAGGGCACUGUCUCUAGCCCCCGAAAAUCAAAGGGCAAAGCCCCACUCAAGCAGAGUCGCCAGGCAGAACGCCGGGACCCAUCACCUCCGCAUAUCCCAGCCUCUAAAGAUGAGGAACCCUGGCCUCCCCCCUCCCUAGAGAUUAUGGAUGAGUGGAAAGUGGAGAAUGACUGUCAGGAUCUACCAUGGGACGAUCCGGAAUACACUCAAGAAACGACCUGUGACAUUCAUUUCAGGAAACGGGGAUCCCAAAAAUCAUCCGACAUGCCGGAUGAUGGUAAUUUCCUCGAUGCCCAGGGCGCACCCAUGUUCGACCCCCGCAUGAUUCGACACCUGAGAUCAUCGGAGUGGGGACUGCCAGAUCACUUGGCCCAGUUUAUACACUUCUGGUUAAGAAAACCAAUGGAGAAAGAGGUAUGUGCCCGUCUCCAGGCCAAAUGCCCAAGACCAAUACUACCGGACAAGAUAGCGCAUACCCCGGAAUUCAAUACCAUGGUGGUAAUGUUUAUGUCCGGCUCGGGCCGAAACCCACAUAAGAGCAUUGAAAAAGGCCUGAAAGCCUCUCAGGAUAAACUACUGGACAUACUCGGUCCACUGGCGAAGAUCCUGUACUUUGCCUACUUAGCCCUCACCCAAGGCAUUCCUCUGGAUGCCCAUGACGUACGGGAAUGGGUACAACAGGCAAUUUGCAUGUUGGGUAACACGAAUGUGGCCAUAUGCGCGGAAAGACGCAUGGCAACUUUAUGUUAGCUGCUGGAGUUGGGCAAGAAGGAAAUGGGACCCCUGGUGAACGGCAAGCUGUUCGGAGAUUCAUUUAUUACCGAGCUAAAGAAGCACGAGAACAUGUUCACCACCCUGAAUAAAGCCCAGGCGUCCAUCAAGCAGGUGUUCCGCAACCCCGCUCCGCACAGGGUUUUUUUUGGCAGGCUGGUCGCCACCAGCCGUUUCUGGCCCACAGGACCCAGGAAUCAGACUUUGCAAGCCUUCUUCCCAGCCUCAAGCGCCACUUUCUCAAAGGGGAUCCUUCCUUCCCAGAGGGGCUCGUACCCGAGGCCGCGGACUCUUCAACACAGGUGAGCAUUCCACCCUCGAUAUAUUGACAUUCACUUAUAACUGCAGGCAGGCUGUCUCUCUUUUCACAGAACUGGGAGAGGAUCUCCACAGACACCUGGGUCCGCCAAACAGGAAGGGGUUACGUGCUAGAGUUUUCAGACACCCCAGUGCGGAUCAGAUGUCCGCCCCCAAUUCGGGUGUCAACAGAUCACAAAACGCUCAUACACGACGAGAUUCGAGCUCUAUUCGACAAAGGAGCGGUGGAAUUCGCUCCGGACAAUACAGGCUUUUUCAGCAACAUCUUCGUGGUCAAAAACGACAGAAGAUUACUGACCCAUCAUCAAUUUGCGACAACUAAAUGGUAUCUUAAUGUAUCGCCAUUUCAAAAUGGAAGGUAUUCACCUCCAACGAGACCUGCUACUAGAAUCCGACUGGUUCACGCUUACCUGUCCGUCCUCAUAGCACCCGAGAGUCGACUAUUCCUCCGAUUCACAUGGCAAGGUCGCCCAUGCCAGUUCACAUGUCUACCCGUGGUGCUUCAUGAAACUACUGAAACCAGUCAUGGCACAACUGAGGGCAAAAGGUAUUCGCUGUCUCAUAUACCUGGACGACAUAUUGAUAUUCUGCGAAAGUGCUUCCAGGCUACAAUCUCACACGAGGUUUAUUGUGCAAUUUCUGGAAUCAUUAGGCUUCAUAGUGAACAGAAAAAAGUCGUCACUCUCUCCAUCCAGAAUUGUUCAGUUCCUAGGAUUUGAGAUCGACUCAAAAACGUGUGUCCUACGUUUCCCCACUACAAAGAUAGCGGUGAUUUGAAAGGAGUUCUGGAAGGACACCAUUCCUCUUUGCCUCUUGGCCAGAGUGGUCGGAAUGCUAUCGUCCUCCAUUCAAGCGAUCUUCCCAGGACUGCUCCAUUAUCGGGCCAUGCAGCGAUUGAAGGCUCACUACCCGUGGAUGGGACACUCGUACGAGUACUUAUUUUCCCUCCCUGGGGUUUUCCCUCCCUAUAUUCUUGGGACGUUUACAGUUCCUAUAUUAUCAGUAUAAAUUACAUUGCAACAACACUUAUUUAAGUUGUAUUAUUUAAGUUGUAUUGAUGUUGGUUAACGUUUGUCUUACAGGUUAUUACCUUAAGUUGUGGUGAUAAUUAUAAAUGGUUUAUAACAGUUAAAUUGUAUUAUAAUCUUAAUUAUUAAAAGUAUUAAGCUUAAUAUGUGGACACAAGUUGUUUUCCACCACCCUUCACUUGUUUCUGUUCUUUUCAGCAUAAUCAACAUGCAUGUUUCGGAAACUGGACAAGCACGAUCCCUUCACGUUAUGGUUCAAGUUUCGGUUAAUCAAGUCAUCCAGGAUUGUCAUUAUGUUUCCUGAUGUUUCAAUAGACUGUUUUCGCAUCAAAGACAGAGGAAGUGAGAUGGCUGUCAGGGAUUGAUAUGGAUGUUAUACCUGUUUCUGAUUGGUUUAAAAAGUUUGAUUGACUUGUGCUGCU
This 5905-nucleotide long non-coding RNA is filed under the name Pelobates cultripes (western spadefoot toad). Lineage: Eukaryota; Metazoa; Chordata; Amphibia; Anura; Pelobatidae. The record is from RNAcentral.